AUGAGAGGCACGACUGGUAUUGAAUGAGCUCUUUAUGUCUCUGAACUGUUGUAUAUGUAAGUGUAGUCUUGUGUGUUUAUUCUCAAUUUGAAUACUGAGAUGGAUAACGUACGUGAUUUUGUGUUGGAUGUUUUCUCUGAAGUUUUGGUCCGAAGAAGCAUUUUUGUCCUGAAGAUUUUCAAGAAAUAAAUUUGUUACCGAUGAUUACCAAUUUUCAGAAGGUUGUUUAUAGAUGACUUUUCUCUUGAUGUUUUUUAAAAAUCCAGGAGGCUACCGUGAUUUCCUUGAAAUUGAUGUUUGAUACUCUACCACAGGAAGUAACUAAAGCUAGUUUGAAAGAAUAUACCUAGCAGCAGAAUACCGAUUAUGAUUUUACAGCUUGAUACUCUACUGUUGAAAAUUACUUAUGUUAGAUUGAAAGAAUAUACCUUGCAGCAAAAUAUUGAUUAUUACUUUAAAGUUUAGUGAUUGGCUUUGUACUGGAUACUUCAACGUCGUAUAGUAACCGUGAGGACCGUAUUUGCCAAGAGCUCCAAUUUUGACCUAUUUUCCAUGAGAAACAUUUGUGCCAAGAUGUCCUCAAUUACUAACACAGCUGCCAAGAUAACCAUGUGUGCAAGGAUUACUGACCUAGUUGCCAUGUGAUGAUCUCAAUAAAUGACCUAGUUGCCAUGAGGACCAUAUGUGCCAAGAUGAUCCCAAUAAAUGACCUAGUUGCCAUGAGGACCAUGUGUGCCAAGAUGACUUUCUUAAGUUUCCUAGUUGUCAUGACCUAGCUGUAGAGUUAAACCAACUUUAUUUCUUCACCUCAAGGUUUAUUUUUAUGUUCUCCUCUAAUAUGAAGAUUCCACACUUGUAUUUUAUGAAUAUUGUAAUUUAGUUUUUUCUCCUAAAAAUUAAGCUACAUACUUUUUAAUGAAACUUAAGAAAUCGAAAUCCAUAUUUUGAAAUACCUUGCAUGCAAUUUAAGAAUACUCAGUAUUAAAGUAAAUUUAUUUCUAAUAUUUUCUUAAAUACGAAAAAUAAUUAAUCUUAUUAAUCUAAAGUUUAUUCUAUUAAAAAUUUUAUUCAUGGAUUAUUUUAAUAGUCAAUAAUUUAUUCAUUAAAUAUCAUAAAUUAAAUUUCAAGUCUUAGAGAACGUGCAUCUAAUUUGCGUACACUAAGUACUUCAUUGAUCCUGCUUAGUGUAUGUACGUACAAUUGCGUGUCAAAACGUUUUAUGACAAGCUUAUUGUUAGCUAUUGCUCGUUAUAAAUUAUGACUUAA
Non-coding RNA from Parasteatoda tepidariorum (common house spider), 1266 nucleotides. NCBI's taxonomy places the organism in Eukaryota, Metazoa, Arthropoda, Arachnida, Araneae, Theridiidae. The record is from RefSeq and is a predicted model, not a curated record.